UCACCUCUAUAAAAGUCCUGCCU
This 23-nucleotide non-coding RNA is filed under the name Mus musculus (house mouse). The record is from RNAcentral. Lineage: Eukaryota; Metazoa; Chordata; Mammalia; Rodentia; Muridae.